Molecule: long non-coding RNA, 227 nt
Filed under: Naja naja (Indian cobra)
Lineage: Eukaryota; Metazoa; Chordata; Lepidosauria; Squamata; Elapidae
Description: lncRNA (ENSNNAG00000016800.1)
Source: RNAcentral
GGAGGACCUACAGAAGACCCCAAAAGAAAGUGGACGUGCCGAAGAGAAAGUUAGAGCCUAUCACAGUUGCUGAAACUUGGAAGGAUGGCCCUUAUGUCUUCAUCCUCAGCAUCACGAACCCCUUGCCCAACUGGGAGGUCUCAAGGACUUCAAUUGUGGGAGACGCUUCACUUCCAACUGUUCAGUCCCUCUACCGAGUCUUCUUCGGUCUUGAGUUCUCCUGCACU